CAUUUCUUCAAAUAUUCUUACAGCUCAUCAUGUGAAUCUUCUUCAUCUUCAGCUGACCCGCCACCGGGAGCGCCACCGGAUCUUUGAUAUACGGCAGUGAUGAUUGGGUUGCAAACGGCUUCGACCUCCUUGAGUUUCUCUUCAUAAUCCUCUUUCUCAGCAGUCUGGUUGUCAUCAAGCCAUUCGAGGGCUUCCUUCACAGCUGUUUCAAUUUUCUCCUUUUCAUCAGACUCGAGCUUGUCUGCAAGCUUGUCUUUGUCGUUAAUCUGGUUUUUCAUGUUAUAGACAUAGGUUUCAAGACUGUUACGAGCGUCAAUCCUCUCCUUCACCUUCUUAUCCUCCUCGGCAAACUCUUCAGCCUCACGGACCAUGCGCUCAAUUUCCUCUUGGCUCAGACGACCUUUGUCAUUUGUAA
RNAcentral lists this long non-coding RNA (415 nucleotides) under Jatropha curcas. Its description in RNAcentral is "long non-coding RNA (JCUR_LNC002844)". Lineage: Eukaryota; Viridiplantae; Streptophyta; Magnoliopsida; Malpighiales; Euphorbiaceae. The record is from RNAcentral.